Molecule: ribosomal RNA, 509 nt
Filed under: uncultured bacterium
Lineage: Bacteria
Description: partial 16S ribosomal RNA
Rfam family: Bacterial small subunit ribosomal RNA
Source: RNAcentral
GACGAACGCUGGCGGCGUGCUUAACACAUGCAAGUCGAACGAAGAGCGAUGGAAGCUUGCUUCUAUCAAUCUUAGUGGCGAACGGGUGAGUAACGCGUAAUCAACCUGCCCUUCAGAGGGGGACAACAGUUGGAAACGACUGCUAAUACCGCAUACGAUCCGACCUCGGCAUCGAGGAUGGAUGAAAGGUGGCCUCUAUUUAUAAGCUAUCACUGAAGGAGGGGAUUGCGUCUGAUUAGCUAGUUGGAGGGGUAACGGCCCACCAAGGCAAUGAUCAGUAGCCGGUCUGAGAGGAUGAACGGCCACAUUGGGACUGAGACACGGCCCAGACUCCUACGGGAGGCAGCAGUGGGGAAUCUUCCGCAAUGGACGAAAGUCUGACGGAGCAACGCCGCGUGAGUGAUGACGGCCUUCUGGUUGUAAAGCUCUGUUAAUCGGGACGAAAGGUCUUCUUGCGAAUAGUUAGAAGAAUUGACGGUACCGGAAUAGAAAGCCACGGCUAACUACGU